AGAGCGAACGCUGGCGGCAGGCCUAACACAUGCAAGUCGAGCGCCCCGCAAGGGGAGCGGCAGACGGGAGAGUAACACGUGGGAACGUACCCUUCAGUACGGAACAACCAAGGGAAACUUUGGCUAAUACCGUAUACGUCCGUAAGGAGAAAGAUUUAUCGCUGAAGGAUCGGCCAGCGUCUGAUUAGCUUGUUGGUGAGGUAACGGCUCACCAAGGCUACGAUCAGUAGCUGGUCUGAGAGGAUGAUCAGCCUCACUGGGACUGAGACACGGCCCAGACUCCUACGGGAGGCAGCAGUGGGGAAUAUUGGACAAUGGGCGCAAGCCUGAUCCAGCCAUGCCGCGUGGGUGAUGAAGGCCCUAGGGUUGUAAAGCCCUUUCGGCGGGAAGAUAAUGACGGUACCCGCAGAAGAAGCCCCGGCUAACUUCGUGCCAGCAGCCGC
This 443-nucleotide ribosomal RNA is filed under the name uncultured bacterium. RNAcentral describes it as "SSU rRNA". It matches the Rfam family "Bacterial small subunit ribosomal RNA", at positions 26 to 518 of the family's 1533-position model. The record is from RNAcentral.